GUUUGUGGAUGAGUCAGCACCGGGAUCCUACUUGCUACUCUCUCAGUUGUCUCUCCAAAGCCUCCUUCUCCAUUCUUUCCUCAGGGGCCUCCAGGACACUCUGCCUCCACCUUUGCUGGAGACCAGGAAACCCGCGGAGGGGAGCCCCCAACGCGGCCCCAUCAGAAGACACGGGACAAUAUACAGAGAUGGAUGGUCUGUUCCCGGAGUGAUGCUGUGUUCCAUUUGGUCGUCCCCUUCCCAGCUGUGCCUUCAUUGAAGUUGCAGGACAGAGUUCAUGCGCAGAAGCCCUUCCAUCCCCUGGCAGGAUCCAAGGCUGCUGCCACACUUCCUCCUCCUCCUCCUUCUCUCCAUGGUCACUCAGCCGCCUGCCCUCACUGGGGCCCGAGGAGCCUGUCCUUCCCACGGGAGCCUGGGUCACUCCUACCCAGUGGCGGCUACCCAAGGCUUCCGCCCCUCCAUGUUGUGUCCAGAUCGUUGGGUGAGCUAUUACAGAGGUGGGUUCGCUCGUCCUCGGGACCUGGAGUGUGUGUGGCGGCUCCCUGCCCCCUCCCCUGCCACCUCCUUCGCCGUGAGCCCAGCUCUGUGUCUGCUGCAGCCCCGCCCCGGCUCCAUGUGUGGGGCAGAUACACCCACGUCAGAACCCUGGCUACAACAGAUAAUUUAAAACAGCAGAAGAGGGAAAAAAAGUGGUUUUGAUUUGGAUUGAAAAUGUAUUACAUCAUUCUUAUUAUUUUUACUAGUGCUUUGGUGUUUUCAUAACUUUUUGCAUAUGUUGACCUUAAAAUAAAUUCUAGAUCUAGAGUAAACAUCACUUAGAGCAUGUUGCUAGGCUGCCACCCGCCCUUGAUCCUGUGAGGAUAGGGACCCUGAGCUGUCACAUGGGCAUAAUAAUGUCUACACAACAGAGCUGCUUUGAGGAGAUUCUGUGACAACCAUUCAGUUCUCACCAACAGCUAUGGGCACUCUUUCUUCUCAAGUUAAUUUUAAAACCCCGAGUCAAAUGCCAACUUCUGCAUUAUCCUCUUUAUACCUAUCACAGAACAGGUCAUUAUUUCUUUUCUAAUUAAGUGAGAAAGGGAGAAAAGAGAUGUCAUGUUUGGGAAUAAAACAAAAAUCGCUUUAUGAGUUUGGAAGGAAGCAACUAAGUCUUGCUGGUAUUCCAAGUUGCCUCGAGGACAGGAGACAGGUGACCACGGCGUGCCUGCAGGUGGGCUCACUAGCCUGGGACACCUGUGUGAGCCACUCAUACCUGUUAGGCUCCAGAACCAGACCGUCUUCAUGCAGUACCUUCCUGGCCACAUCAAGCCUUUGCCGUGACCUUGUACUUUCUCUUGCCCGGAAUAGACACGUGUUUACGCGCUUUGUUGUUGCUUCUGCCUUAUACCCAUUGCUGCCAACACCAGUGAACUUUGGGCCCGGUAAUUACCUUAACA
Pteronotus mesoamericanus is the source of this 1436-nucleotide long non-coding RNA. RefSeq lists it as uncharacterized. Lineage: Eukaryota; Metazoa; Chordata; Mammalia; Chiroptera; Mormoopidae. The transcript has 3 exons. The record is from RefSeq and is a predicted model, not a curated record.